RNAcentral lists this transfer RNA (61 nucleotides) under Clinostomum complanatum. RNAcentral's name for it is "tRNA-Leu". Lineage: Eukaryota; Metazoa; Platyhelminthes; Trematoda; Strigeidida; Clinostomidae. The record is from RNAcentral.
UAAGGAUGCCAGAUUUAAUGGGCUAGAUUUAGGUUCUAUUAAUGGUUUGAUACCUCCUUGC